UUUUUUGAUCAUUCAUAUGUAUUUUUUGUGUUGUUGAUGAUUAUUUAAGUUUGUUCGAUUAUAAUGUUUAUGGAUGGAUCUAUUAUUUGAUGUGGAGGAGGUAGGGGUUUGGGUACUACAAGUUGUAAGGGGGUCUACGGUGAGGCCAAGUUUAGACACGGACAAUCUUAUAAAGUUGUUUCACGGUUUUGGAUUCGUUGAAACUCGAGCUUAAUCGAUUGGAAAUUGAAGUCACAGGUGAUUAAUACAAAAUGAUUUAUUAUGAUCGAGAACCGAGCGAAUCACAAUCUUAGAUAGAUUUUAAAUUAAAUGUCUACAUAAGAAAAAAAUGAUUGAAAACUAUA
Molecule: long non-coding RNA, 344 nt
Filed under: Helianthus annuus (common sunflower)
Lineage: Eukaryota; Viridiplantae; Streptophyta; Magnoliopsida; Asterales; Asteraceae
Description: sRNA HanXRQr2_Chr02g0050021
Source: RNAcentral